Molecule: ribosomal RNA, 367 nt
Filed under: uncultured bacterium
Lineage: Bacteria
Description: bacterial SSU rRNA
Rfam family: Bacterial small subunit ribosomal RNA
Source: RNAcentral
GAGUAACACGUUGGAACCUGCCCCAAAGUGAGGAUAAGCACCGAAAGUGGUCUAAUACUUCAUAAUAUCCAUCUCGUAUGGAUUAAAGCUUUAUGCGCUUUGGGAGGGCCUGCGUAACAUUAGCUUGUUGGUGAGGUAAAAGCUCACCAAGGCUUCGAUGUUUAACUGGUUUGAGAGGAUGACCAGUCUCACUGGGACUGAGAUACGGCCCAGACUCCUACGGGAGGCAGCAGUAAGGAAUCUUCCACAAUGGGGCAACCCUGAUGGAGCAAUACCGUGUGCAGGAUGAAGCGUUUCGGCGUGUAAACUGCUUUUAUCACCGAAGAUUAUGACUGUAGGUGAAGAAUAAGGACCGGCUAACUACGUG